Molecule: ribosomal RNA, 468 nt
Filed under: uncultured bacterium
Lineage: Bacteria
Description: partial 16S ribosomal RNA
Rfam family: Bacterial small subunit ribosomal RNA
Source: RNAcentral
GACGAACGCUGGCGGCGUGCUUAACACAUGCAAGUCGAGCGGAAAGGCCCUGCUUUUGUGGGGUGCUCGAGUGGCGAACGGGUGAGUAACACGUGAGUAACCUGCCCUUGACUUUGGGAUAACUUCAGGAAACUGGGGCUAAUACCGGAUAGGAGCUCCUGCUGCAUGGUGGGGGUUGGAAAGUUUCGGCGGUUGGGGAUGGACUCGCGGCUUAUCAGCUUGUUGGUGGGGUAGUGGCUUACCAAGGCUUUGACGGGUAGCCGGCCUGAGAGGGUGACCGGCCACAUUGGGACUGAGAUACGGCCCAGACUCCUACGGGAGGCAGCAGUGGGGAAUAGUGCACAAUGGGCGGAAGCCUGAUGCAGCAACGCCGCGUGCGGGAUGACGGCCUUCGGGUUGUAAACCGCUUUCGCCUGUGACGAAGCGUGAGUGACGGUAAUGGGUAAAGAAGCACCGGCUAACUACGUG